Molecule: ribosomal RNA, 285 nt
Filed under: Foraminifera sp.
Lineage: Eukaryota; Foraminifera
Description: partial small subunit ribosomal RNA
Source: RNAcentral
UUAGUUCGUGGAGUGAUCUGUCUGCUUAAUUGCGUUUCACAAAGGGCUUUCUAACUCUCGCCUGUUGCGCGGCACAUGUCUCUCUGAGCUUGUGUCUGUGCACGGCGGGAAAAAAGUCCUGAAGGCAACGAACGUGACCGCAACCUCUUGUUGCCUCCUGCCUCAUCUUGAGGCCAUGGCACGCAUUUUGUACACCAGUACAUGGCUGCCUGCAUGGAGUUUUUUGCAAACUAGAGGGACCGCUGACAACUUUUAAAACAGAGGAAGGUUGCGGCAAUAACAGGU